ACAAAUGCCCUGCUUCCAGGAAAAGCCUCUAAGCAUCAGGUAACAUCAAAUCGUACCCCAAACCGACACAGGUGGUCAGGUAGAGAAUACCAAGGCGCUUGAGAGAACUCGGGUGAAGGAACUAGGCAAAAUGGUGCCGUAACUUCGGGAGAAGGCACGCUGAUAUGUAGGUGAAG
Molecule: ribosomal RNA, 176 nt
Filed under: Vibrio cholerae
Lineage: Bacteria; Pseudomonadati; Pseudomonadota; Gammaproteobacteria; Vibrionales; Vibrionaceae
Description: Large Subunit Ribosomal RNA; lsuRNA; LSU rRNA
Rfam family: Bacterial large subunit ribosomal RNA
Source: RNAcentral